AAGUCGUAACAAGGUUUCCGUAGGUGAACCUGCGGAAGGAUCAUUAACAAAUAAAAGAAUUCCACAUUCUUAAACCCCUUCUGAGUACUUGUACCCGUUGCUUCCGUGGGUAGUGAGCAUCGUGCUUGCGUCUGUCCCUGCGAUGGACCCACGGGAGGUAUAUAUAUAAAGCUUCGUAUUUUGAUGGUAUCAGUCUGAGUAUGUUCAUUAAAUAAGAUAUCAAAACUUUCAACAACGGAUCUCUUGGUUCUC
This 252-nucleotide unclassified non-coding RNA is filed under the name fungal sp. Its description in RNAcentral is "partial internal transcribed spacer region". The stretch from base 1 to 46 matches the Rfam family "Eukaryotic small subunit ribosomal RNA", at positions 1786 to 1831 of the family's 1831-position model. The record is from RNAcentral. Lineage: Eukaryota; Fungi.